Molecule: ribosomal RNA, 245 nt
Filed under: uncultured Thermomarinilinea sp.
Lineage: Bacteria; Bacillati; Chloroflexota; Anaerolineae; Anaerolineales; Anaerolineaceae
Description: partial 16S ribosomal RNA
Rfam family: Bacterial small subunit ribosomal RNA
Source: RNAcentral
AACGUAGGAGGCGAGCGUUAUUCGGAUUUACUGGGCGUAAAGCGCGUGCAGGCGGCUCUGUAAGUCAGGCGUGAAAUCUCCCGGCUUAACCGGGAGGCUGCGUCUGAUACUACAGGGCUAGAGGUCGGGAGAGGGAGGUGGAAUUCCCGGUGUAGCGGUGGAAUGCGUAGAUAUCGGGAGGAACACCAGUGGCGAAGGCGGCCUCCUGGCCCGCACCUGACGCUCAGACGCGAAAGCGUGGGGAG